Falco peregrinus (peregrine falcon) is the source of this 4784-nucleotide long non-coding RNA. RefSeq lists it as uncharacterized. The record is from RefSeq and is a predicted model, not a curated record. The transcript has 2 exons. NCBI's taxonomy places the organism in Eukaryota, Metazoa, Chordata, Aves, Falconiformes, Falconidae.
UGAUGCACAUCACUAGGAAUUACAUGCUAUAAAAAUAACGUACAUCUGUUUAAGAACAUAGGGUAUGUGAUCUUGGAAGGAGAAGAGUGCUGUGUUUUCACUUUAGAGCAGUAUUUUCUCACUUCAGAUGGAGGUGAAUAGCAGGUAACAACAAUAAAAUACGUCAUUAAAAUAACGGAUUGUGUAAUGAGCUGAUAACAGCUUUCCCUUUAAUGUAGUCGACAGAAUAAGAAAAAGAUCUUAAGUUAAAAGACAGAAGUUUUAGAUCUGAAUAAACAGAAAUACUUUUUCACACAAUUUGAGUGAAUAGAAGUUUUACUGCAGGAAACUGUGGAAGCCAAGAUUCAGAUCAGCAGCUGAGCAGCUGCUGGUGAUAACCUUAGCAUUACCUCGAUUUGUGAUAACAAAUCUGUGAGGUGACGCUGUACUUCAGGGUCUGGUUUUUAUCUACCUAGGUGAGCCUUCGUAAGAGCCAAAUUCAUCCAUGCUCUCCACUGCCAAGCCUUUUUGGGUUUUAGUUCCUUGUAUAAGAAUUCUUGCAGGGACCAUUAAUGGAGAAACAGUAGAAAUAGUGGAAAAGUUGUACUAAUUUACCAUUCAGGUGAGGAAAAUCGGACAAGCUAAGAUUUUAUUAUCUAUUUUUAGUGUUGCCAGUACUAGUAGAGACAUUAUUGUUGACAAGCAUUUACACAACUUGGUGAAAAUGCUGAUACUCUGUACUCUGAGCCAGUACGGAGUAGCCAUGUCAGACCUUUUCCCAACUUGGUGCUAAAUGAACAUUUAAGACCUCAAUGUUUUUUUUUUCACUGAAGCCUGCCUAAGUGUAUUUGUAGGGGAUGUGUUGUGUGUAGUAGUGGUUCUUUGUCACUGCUCUACGUAGUAAUAGUAGGGACCUGAAAAUUUACUAACGGAAUUUAAAAAUAAAACCCGUAACAUUUACGGUCAGACAGGAGGAGCCUUCAGGGGAAAGAAAACUGGUUCAGUUAUUUCUUUUUUUCCAAGUCAGUUUGUAUUUAAGAUUGGGCUAAGGUUUUGUAAGGUAUUUUAUAUUCUUUGUGUACGUGGUCUGCUAAAGACUAAUUUGUCAUUAAGCUGUUGUGCAAUUAUCUUUGCGUCUUACCAGGUGAAUAGCUAGUAAACCGUAACAGGUAAAUGUAUGACUCACAGGUAGGUAACGAGUUAAAUUUUUGAGUUACUGCUGUGUUUAGGUCAUUGUACAGUGUCUGGGUGUGGGCAGGGAGGUUUCCCAGUUUGUAAAUCUAGUAAUUUCCAAGGAAAAAUGGUAUGUUUUCCAUUCUAGACUAUCUGUAGACCACUAUAAUAUAAUAAAUUGUGGUCAGGCAUCGCACUGGCAUUCUUAAUAGUUAAGCCAGUCUCUGAAACAGUCUAUUAGACCACCUACAGUGUCGGUGCAGCUGCCAGGGGGAUUUAAGAAGUGUUAGCCCUGUAAGUGUUAGUUGCUGUUACACAUGCAUUUUAAAACCCUUGAACCAAACUUUAAUGACUGUAUCUAAGCUCAUUUUAUUACAGUGUUUCUCACUGUAAGCAGUAAAUUGUAGAUAACUGAAAAUUUUAUUUACUUUUUUACUGUGGUGUACAUUUUGGCAUAUUUUUUUUUUACCUCCUAAAACAUUUUCCUUUAGGUUGUAAUUAAUAGUAUUGAUUUUAUCUUUUUAUGUUCUUAGUCAUUAUAUAGCGUAUAUAUAUAUAUGUGUAUGCUUCCACAAACUCAUAGCUAAUGCAUCACCAUUUGCUGCUGCUUAUUUUUAAGAAAAUUAAAAUAGGUCAAAACCCUGUGAAACAAUUCAGUAUGUUUACUCAAAGCAUUGAUCAAUCCAAUGCAACAAUUACAUUUUGAAAGUUACUUUGUUUUCUUUUACAAUAAUAAAUCUGUUAAUGAAUAAAGUAUCAUGCAAAAGAGGAAGUUCAAACUCGAAACUUACUUUAUCAUGGAGUUUUAAAUAGCUCCAUAUUAAUUCCCUUCCAACCAUCACUGUCAGGUUUCCCAGUUUGUAAAUCUAGUAAUUUCCAAGGAAAAGCGGUAUGUUUUCCAUUCUAGACUAUCUGUAGAUCACUAUAAUAUAAUAAAUUGUAUUUAUUUUCUGAAUACAAGCUUUUAACCAAGUCCCUGGCUGUAACUAGAGCAAAUCUGUGUACUGCAGUGCUCUGGUUUUUCUCAUGGUUUUAGGAAGCGAUACUGAAUGGAAUUUUGUCCUUUUAAAGAUGUGCCUCUCGGUACAUACUGUGUGCAACUUUGUAAUCCUUUUUUUUUUAUUAUUAUUAUUUGUUUGUUAAAAAGACUGUAAAUCGUGAGGUAGAUUUAUCUUAUUUUAGCCAUCCCUGGAUUUAUUUGCUGAAAGGAGGGCUUUGCGUUCCGGAUAGCCUCGCAGAACAUGGGAUGGUAGCCACUAACCUCCGACCACUUUUUCCCUUUCUCUGUCCCCCAAAUUAAUCUCGGUACCGGGAGGAAUCAUGCUGGCUGCGGCGUUCCCUCAGCUCGCAGCGCUGGGUUGGGGAGCGGCAGUCCGUGUGGCGGCGGUCCAUGGCUCCCAGUGCUCGCCCUGGGCUGGCCACGUGGGGUGGCUGCUGGUUUCAUGGGCCAUUGGUGUGGUUGUGGUGAAAACUUCCUCAGCCUGUUGGGGGGGUGGGGUAGUAUUUCUAGAAAUGUUAAUAAAAAUGACUAGUUGUCAUCGUGUAAAGUAGUGCUUGCGAUCUGGGCUUUGGGCAGGAGUGCAUCUGUCCUGUGGGGCCAUCCAGUGUGCCUGAGUGACCAGUUCCCGUGAACGAGCCAAGGUGGUUCAGCCAAGGAAGAGCACCAAGCGAGUAGUUACGCGUAGGGGGGCGUCUCUGCUCGUUCGGCAUCGACCCGCCGUGUCUGGGCGAACGGCGCUUGGCGCUGAGGCAGCGAGCGAACUGUCACAAAGGAAUUUGUACAGGAGAACUCUGUUUCAUUUGUUGAAUGAAUUUAACAACGCAGCAUUUUUCCUAAAACAUUGGUUAAAAAGACUACUGAUAUGCUUAUGAAAACUAUUUAUUGUAACGCCGAUUAAUUAUGCGGCAUUUGGAGAUGAAAAUGUCCUUGAAGAUCACGUUGAAUGAUGCUGGGCUGGUUUGUUGGUGGAAGGUCUGGUACCCCCUGCCCGACCUCUGCAGCCCUCAGCGGGACACAAGGGCCCCCAACAUGUCAUCGUGUUACUCUUCCGUCACCGAGCUGUGAAGGCUGAGCUGGCUCUUCAGAAUCACCGGCAAAGCCAAACAGGCGUUGAGGCUAGCGGAAGGCUUUAGUUCUGCCUUUUACAGGUUUUGCGUAUAAUUGUCUCUCUGUGUCUUCAGGCCUCUUCUGCAUCUUCAAAGCAUAGUCUGUUGGACGGUGUUACCGCCGUGUCAUUUCCUUGUUGUGUGGAUGGGACGGUGAGGGAUUACCUCUGUAAUCCUUAGCCUGGCUGUGAAAUGCACAGUAGAAACAGGUAAAUAGACUUAGUGUCACCUGGAGACACAGCGAGGCUCUGCAGGUACUGGGUGCCUGGGAUCGUGGGUAGAAAGACGUUGGAAAAUACGCGUGGUCGAAUUGACCCCUUCCCAAGCGUCUGUUCGAGAGGGAAUUCUGAAUAGGAAUUAGGUGAAAUAUUUUCCGUCUUUUCUCCAACCAUCUAUCUGAGCAUGAAUGUGGAAGAACCUGGACGGAUAAUAGGUUUCCUGCUGGAUGUCUGCUAAGGCUGAGAGCUGCCGGACUUUGAAGGUUCAAGGCAUUAGUGGGUACGGAGCCAGGAGUCGCCUGUGUUGAGUAGGAUAGUUUCAGAGUUGAGCGUUCUUUGGAAAGUGUGUUAAAACUAAGAGCUACAACUUCUUUGAUCUAAGAAAAAAAAGGUUUUAAAUUCUUUUGCUUUUAAUGGGUUAGGAGAAUUGAUUCUAUAUUGUUUUAAAAGUGAGAAGUAAAGCCAUUCUGUGAGCGAAGAAACAAGUGCCACUUGCUUUUUAAAAGAUAGCCUUGAGAAUUUUGUUUCUGCAAUAAUCCAAGUUUCAAUCAAAGACCAGUUUCCUUGGGAAGAUGUUGAAUGUUGCUAUUUUAUAUAAGAAGUCACACAGCAAAUGUGCCGUACGUAGUUUUCCUGGAAGCUUAUCAAAGUUGCGUGUCAAGUUUUAAUUUUAGCAGCAGUUUAGAACGAGACCUUCAGGCUGCCGAGAAGUGCUGAGGAGCCAGUGCCUGUGGUUCUCGGGGGGAAAAUGCCCGUCGCAGACAGCCGUCCCUUCGUAGUGCCGUCUGCCCUUACCCCUCUGAAAGGGCUUCUGUGUCUUGAACAUUGUAAAUACUCAGGUUUAACAGAAUAUUUGUAUUAUGAAUGUUGUUCACAUGAAUUACUAGUUUUAACUUCCACUGCUUGAUUUCAUUCAUCCGCUACCCUUGUCGAGUCGAAAAGGACUACUUCAGGAAUUUGGUCCAAAAAAAAGGUGUGACAGAUGUCUUAAGGCUGAGUAAUCAGUCAAAUUUGCUGUAUUUAAGUAUAGAAAUAAUUACUGUAUAUAGUCCACGAGCUAUAUGCAAAUGUGAUGACUCAUUAUCUAACACAGAGUAAAGGCGUAAGCAGGUUUUGUUACUAUUUCCAUAGAGGAGUAGCAAUUCAAAAGAAGAGCUGGUGUAAAGUGAGAAAACUCUGCGUGAUGUAUUGUGAUUGUAUUUUGGGUUUUACGUUUUACUUUGCUGUGAAUUGAACAGCGGACCUGGAGUCCUUUUUUGAAAUCAUUGUGGUUUAUGAUUGGGCUGUUGUUUCGGGAUUUUUCUUUUU